RNAcentral lists this ribosomal RNA (1768 nucleotides) under Salmonella enterica subsp. enterica serovar Agona. Its description in RNAcentral is "bacterial LSU rRNA". It matches the Rfam family "Bacterial large subunit ribosomal RNA", at positions 1143 to 2812 of the family's 2925-position model. Lineage: Bacteria; Pseudomonadati; Pseudomonadota; Gammaproteobacteria; Enterobacterales; Enterobacteriaceae. The record is from RNAcentral.
CACUGGUCGAGUCGGCCUGCGCGGAAGAUGUAACGGGGCUAAACCAUGCACCGAAGCUGCGGCAGCGAACGUAUCACUUAAAGCGAUUCAGCGGGUUACGAUUGACGGAGCGAAGCGACGUCAAAGCGUAUACAAAGUCGAGUCGGUUUAAGGAUACGUUCGUUGGGUAGGGGAGCGUUCUGUAAGCCUGUGAAGGUGGCCUGUGAGGGUUGCUGGAGGUAUCAGAAGUGCGAAUGCUGACAUAAGUAACGAUAAAGCGGGUGAAAAGCCCGCUCGCCGGAAGACCAAGGGUUCCUGUCCAACGUUAAUCGGGGCAGGGUGAGUCGACCCCUAAGGCGAGGCCGAAAGGCGUAGUCGAUGGGAAACGGGUUAAUAUUCCCGUACUUGGUGUUACUGCGAAGGGGGGACGGAGAAGGCUAUGUUGGCCGGGCGACGGUUGUCCCGGUUUAAGCGUGUAGGUGUGUGUUCCAGGUAAAUCCGGUUCACUUUAACACUGAGGCGUGACGACGAGGCACUACGGUGCUGAAGCAACAAAUGCCCUGCUUCCAGGAAAAGCCUCUAAGCAUCAGGUAACAUCAAAUCGUACCCCAAACCGACACAGGUGGUCAGGUAGAGAAUACCAAGGCGCUUGAGAGAACUCGGGUGAAGGAACUAGGCAAAAUGGUGCCGUAACUUCGGGAGAAGGCACGCUGACACGUAGGUGAAGUGAUUUACUCAUGGAGCUGAAGUCAGUCGAAGAUACCAGCUGGCUGCAACUGUUUAUUAAAAACACAGCACUGUGCAAACACGAAAGUGGACGUAUACGGUGUGACGCCUGCCCGGUGCCGGAAGGUUAAUUGAUGGGGUCAGCGCAAGCGAAGCUCCUGAUCGAAGCCCCGGUAAACGGCGGCCGUAACUAUAACGGUCCUAAGGUAGCGAAAUUCCUUGUCGGGUAAGUUCCGACCUGCACGAAUGGCGUAAUGAUGGCCAGGCUGUCUCCACCCGAGACUCAGUGAAAUUGAACUCGCUGUGAAGAUGCAGUGUACCCGCGGCAAGACGGAAAGACCCCGUGAACCUUUACUAUAGCUUGACACUGAACAUUGAGCCUUGAUGUGUAGGAUAGGUGGGAGGCUUUGAAGUGUGGACGCCAGUCUGCAUGGAGCCGACCUUGAAAUACCACCCUUUAAUGUUUGAUGUUCUAACGUGGACCCGUAAUCCGGGUUGCGGACAGUGUCUGGUGGGUAGUUUGACUGGGGCGGUCUCCUCCUAAAGAGUAACGGAGGAGCACGAAGGUUGGCUAAUCCUGGUCGGACAUCAGGAGGUUAGUGCAAUGGCAUAAGCCAGCUUGACUGCGAGCGUGACGGCGCGAGCAGGUGCGAAAGCAGGUCAUAGUGAUCCGGUGGUUCUGAAUGGAAGGGCCAUCGCUCAACGGAUAAAAGGUACUCCGGGGAUAACAGGCUGAUACCGCCCAAGAGUUCAUAUCGACGGCGGUGUUUGGCACCUCGAUGUCGGCUCAUCACAUCCUGGGGCUGAAGUAGGUCCCAAGGGUAUGGCUGUUCGCCAUUUAAAGUGGUACGCGAGCUGGGUUUAGAACGUCGUGAGACAGUUCGGUCCCUAUCUGCCGUGGGCGCUGGAGAACUGAGGGGGGCUGCUCCUAGUACGAGAGGACCGGAGUGGACGCAUCACUGGUGUUCGGGUUGUCAUGCCAAUGGCACUGCCCGGUAGCUAAAUGCGGAAGAGAUAAGUGCUGAAAGCAUCUAAGCACGAAACUUGCCCCGAGAUGAGUUCU